GACUCCGGAGAAGGGGCCUGAGAAAUGGCCACUACGUCUAAGGAUGGCAGCAGGCGCGCAAAUUACCCACUCUCAGAACAUUGAGGAGGUAGUGACGAAAAAUAACGAGACCGUUCUCUACGAGGCCGGUCAUCGGAAUGGGUACAAUCUAAACCCUUUAACGAGUAUCUAUGAGAGGGCAAGUCUGGUGCCAGCAGCCGCGGUAAUUCCAGCUCUCAAAAUGCAUAGAAUUAUUGCUGCGGUUAAAAAGCUCGUAGUUGGAUCUGUGCUGGGGCGUCGGUCCACCUUCGGGUUCGCACUGGUCGCCCCCGGCUUCGCUGUCGGUUUUCCCGUCGUCGCCUUCACCGGCGGCGGCGGGUGGCUGGCGAUUUUACUUUGAACAAAUCAGAGUGCUUAACACAGGCGUUUCGCUUGAAUGUUCGUGCAUGGAAUAAUAGAAGAGGAUUUCGGUUCUAUUUUAUUGGUUUUAUAGACUGAGAUAAUGGUUAACAGAGACAAACGGGGGCAUUCGUAUCGCUGCGUGAGAGGUGAAAUUCUUGGACCGCAGCGAGACGAACUACAGCGAAAGCAUUUGCCAAGAAUGUCUUCAUUAAUCAAGAACGAAAGUCAGAGGUUCGAAGGCGAUCAGAUACCGCCCUAGUUCUGACCGUAAACGAUGCCAACUAGCGAUCCGCCGGCGGAUAUUUCGCCCUGGUGGGGAGCUUCCCGGAAACGAAAGUCUUCCGGUUCCGGGGGAAGUAUGGUUGCAAAGCUGAAACUUAAAGGAAUUGACGGAAGGGCACCACCAGGAGUGGAGCCUGCGGCUUAAUUUGACCCAACACGGGGAAACUCACCCGGCCCGGACACCGUGAGGAUUGACAGAUUGAUAGCUUUUUCAUGAUUCGGUGGAUGGUGGUGCAUGGCCGUUCUUAGUUCGUGGAGCGAUUUGUCUGGUUUAUUCCGAUAACGAGCGAGACUCUAGCCUACUAACUAGUCCACCCAUUGCUUCUGUGCGGUGGCACUUCUUAGAGGGAUUUUCGGUGUUCAGCCGCACGAGAUUGAGCAAUAACAGGUCUGUGAUGCCCUUAGAUGUCCGGGGCUGCACGCGCGCUACACUGGCGAAAUCAGCGUGCCUGUCCUCUCUCGAAAGAGAUUGGUAAACCAUUGAAAAUUUGCCGUGAUUGGGAUCGGAAAUUGCAAUUAUUUUCCGUGAACGAGGAAUUCCAAGUAAGUGCGAGUCAUCAACUCGCGUUGAUUACGUCCCUGCCCCUUGUACACACCGCCCGUCGCUGCCCGGGACUGAGCCAUUUCGAGAAAUUUGGGGAUUGCCGGCUGGCGGUUGCGCUUCGGUGUGACUGCCUUUCGGUGAGAACCAAUUUAAUCGCAGUGGCUUGAACCGGGCAAAAGUCGUAACAAGGUG
RNAcentral lists this ribosomal RNA (1399 nucleotides) under metagenome. RNAcentral describes it as "SSU rRNA". It matches the Rfam family "Eukaryotic small subunit ribosomal RNA", at positions 379 to 1801 of the family's 1831-position model. The record is from RNAcentral.